This 251-nucleotide ribosomal RNA is filed under the name uncultured prokaryote. RNAcentral's name for it is "partial 16S ribosomal RNA". It matches the Rfam family "Bacterial small subunit ribosomal RNA", at positions 525 to 775 of the family's 1533-position model. The record is from RNAcentral.
ACGUAGGUGGCAAGCGUUAUCCGGAUUUACUGGGCGUAAAGGGUCCGUAGGUGGUUGGGCGGGUCUGGUGUGAAAGCGCUCGGCUUAACUGAGCGAGGCCACUGGAAACCGCCCGACUGGAGUCGCGCAGAGGGCACUGGAAUUCCCGGUGUAGUGGUGGAAUGCGUAGAGAUGUGGAGGAACACCGAUGGCGAAGGCAGCCCCCUGGGACAUGACUGACGCUCAGGUACGAAAGCGUGGGGAGCAAACAG